Molecule: ribosomal RNA, 404 nt
Filed under: uncultured bacterium
Lineage: Bacteria
Description: bacterial SSU rRNA
Rfam family: Bacterial small subunit ribosomal RNA
Source: RNAcentral
CUAAGAAUCUUGCGCAAUGGGCGAAAGCCUGACGCAGCAAUUCCGCGUGGGGGACGAAGGCCCUCGGGUCGUAAACCCCUUUUGUGAGGGAAGAAGUUCUGACGGUACCUCACGAAUAAGACACGGCUAACUACGUGCCAGCAGCCGCGGUAAUACGUAGGUGUCGAGCGUUGUCCGGAUUUAUUGGGCGUAAAGAGCCCGCAGGCGGCUUGGUAAGUUCGAGGUGAAAUCUCCCGGCUCAACUGGGAGGGUGCCUCGAAAACUAUCAGGCUUGAGGCAGGGAGAGGGAUGUGGAAUUCCCGGUGUAGUGGUGAAAUGCGUAGAUAUCGGGAGGAACACCAGUGGCGAAGGCGGCAUCCUGGCCCUGUCCUGACGCUCAGGGGCGAAAGCGUGGGGAGCAAACC